This 324-nucleotide ribosomal RNA is filed under the name uncultured eukaryote. RNAcentral describes it as "partial 18S ribosomal RNA". It matches the Rfam family "Eukaryotic small subunit ribosomal RNA", at positions 1470 to 1796 of the family's 1831-position model. The record is from RNAcentral.
CCCUUAGAUGUCCUGGGCUGCACGCGCGCUACACUGAUGUGUCCAGUAAGCACCUAACCUAUUCCGAGAGGAGCGGGUAACCUUAGCAAAGCACAUCGUGAUGGGGAUAGGUUAUUGCAAUUAUUAGUCUUGAACGAGGAAUUCCUAGUAAGCACAAGUCAUCAGCUUGUGUUGAUUACGUCCCUGCCCUUUGUACACACCGCCCGUCGCUCCUACCGAUUGAAUGUUCCGGUGAGCUCUUCGGACUGCGCGGUCUGCAGUUUCUGCGUUCCGUGCGGAAAGUUGUGCAAACCUUAACAUUUAGAGGAAGGAGAAGUCGUAACA